AGAGGUGGUCCUACCAAAGGAGCAAGACAAGAUUGAUCGUGUCUGUUCACGACAUCAACAGUCAGUCAAAUGCUUUUCUGAAUGUGAAGGACUCAAACAAGAUACUUGCACAUUGUAUUAUCCCAAAUGAGUGCGGAACCAAUUCAUGGGAAAGCUAAAUAUUGGAUUAAAGGAUAGUUAUUUGGAGCUCUUAAAAGUCAUUUACACGACACCAACAAAAAUUGGAUGAUAGCAACAUUGUUUACAAUUGGUGCUCUUACAUCUGCAAUGAGACAACCGGUUGAGGAGUCAAGCAAGAAUUCUUUCAGAUGUUAUGAAAUGCCUUGGCGACAAUGAAAAGCAAAUGCGAGAGUGCACUUUGAUUACUUUAGACUCUUGGCUUGCUGCUGGCCAUCUUGACAAAAAGGUCCCUUAUGUAACUGCUGCUCUCAAGGACACUAAGUUUGGUGGGUAAGGGCGCAACGAUCCUUUUGACUGGUUGUCAAGACAACUUUCUGGACUGUCCGAUUUUGAUUUUCCUGAUGCUAUACAUCUGCUAAAACCCUAUACAUCUGAUAAAUCAGCACAUGUUCGUAAAGCUGCUGAAGCAUGCUUUAAUGAGAAAUAUUCAGGGUUUGUGGACUCGAAAUGGCAUGUGACAAAAAAUUUGAAAAAUGUACAAGGUUCUGCUUUUGCUAUUGUUAUUGUUGUGGAACAAUUGAAACUCUAUAGGGUUUUCAGAAAACUUCGAAUCUGGUAGAUUGAUUUCAGCAGCCAUAACAUCCAAAACCAUCUCAAAGGUUGGAAAAUCAAAUGCUUAUGGUGAUCGUGCAUUUUCAUCAAG
This is an RNA transcript of Sesamum indicum (sesame), 823 nucleotides long. It is a transcript of the gene named protein MOR1-like, with no coding region annotated. Lineage: Eukaryota; Viridiplantae; Streptophyta; Magnoliopsida; Lamiales; Pedaliaceae. The record is from RefSeq and is a predicted model, not a curated record.